Molecule: long non-coding RNA, 1028 nt
Organism: Mus musculus (house mouse)
Lineage: Eukaryota; Metazoa; Chordata; Mammalia; Rodentia; Muridae
Product: predicted gene, 46662
Exons: 2
Source: RefSeq, a predicted model, not a curated record
AACAGGUUUGUCAUUCUCAUAGAACUCUGAUGUAGUAGAACAAAAUCAUCUAUAAAUAACCUAUAAACAAAUAGACCCAAAUGUGUCCUAAACUUUAUUUAAAAGAGCAGACAGUGUCUGGGUUUGGCCCACAGGCUGUAGUUUGCUGGGUCUUGCCCAAAACUGCAUUAUUUUUCAUGGCACGCAUUCUGUUUGUGCUCCCCUCACCUCCAGCGCCUUUAACUUACUAAUGUAUUUGUUCUGAACAGGUGGAUUUCAACUUUCAAUGGCCCUUUCCAAGUUGUACUUAGCCAUGUGAUCCCAGUGGGCUCUUCUUCCCAUCAGGAACUCAUGAGAGGCUUUCUGUCAUAUUGGCUCAACCCCAGGACUCUAGCCAUUAGGACACUUCAUCUCUCAAGCUAUGAACCUACAUCAUCAGCAUCUUCAGGAGUUAGCCAGGGAAACAGAGUGCUGAAUCCUACUCCAUGCCAACAGAGUCAGCCCGCGCUUACAUAGCUGGAUGGAAAGCCAUAUACACAGCGUUUUCCUCCAAGAAGUGAGAAAUUGACAAAAACCCCUCUCGGUCUCAAGAACAAGCCAGAAAAGCCAUAUACACAGCAUUUUCCUCCAAGAAGUGAGAAAUUGACAAAAACCCCUCUCGGUCUCAAGAACAAGCCAGAAACUUGGAGACGGAUGGUCCAGAGUCAGGGGAGCUUAUUAUUCAUGAGGACUGUCUGACCACAUCAUGAAUGGGUAAUGAGGAUGCCACUGUCACCAAGGGAUCAAGCCCAAAGCCCUGGAAUAGCUAUGAAAUACAGUAUUGUGUUUACACACUGUAACCUCAUCCCACAAGAGCGAACAGCAAAGCCAGGCUUCUGUGUCCCACAGCUGAGCUUUCCUCUCUCUGGGUGGGCAGUACCCUGGCCUGGCCUGGCUAUCCAAGAAACAUCAAAUGAACAAGAGCAAGGGAAGACCAAUCAAAACUCUGUUACACCAACCUCAAGAAAACCAGGCAAGAACAUGCAAUAAAAACAAUUUGCAUUCUUUGA